UGCGCAGGCGGGAAAUUAAGUCAGUGGUGAAAGCCCCGAGCUCAACUUGGGAACUGCCAUUGAAACUGAUUUUCUUGAAUUUAGUUGAGGUAGGCGGAAUACAACAUGUAGCGGUGAAAUGCAUAGAUAUGUUGUAGAACACCGAUUGCGAAGGCAGCUUACUAAACUAACAUUGACGCUGAGGCACGAAAGCGUGGGGAGCGAACAGGAUUAGAUACCCUGGUAGUCC
Molecule: ribosomal RNA, 229 nt
Filed under: uncultured bacterium
Lineage: Bacteria
Description: partial 16S ribosomal RNA
Rfam family: Bacterial small subunit ribosomal RNA
Source: RNAcentral